UACGUAUGGUGCAAGCGUUAUCCGGAUUUACUGGGUGUAAAGGGAGCGCAGGCGGCGCGGCAAAUCCGAUGUGAAAACCCCCGGCUCAACCGGGGGACUGCAUUGGAAACUACCGGGCUGGAGUGCCGGAGAGGUAGGCGGAAUUCCUGGUGUAGCGGUGAAAUGCGUAGAUAUCAGGAGGAACACCAGUGGCGAAGGCGGCCUACUGGACGGUGACUGACGCUGAGGCUCGAAAGCGUGGGGAGCAAACAGG
Molecule: ribosomal RNA, 253 nt
Filed under: uncultured bacterium
Lineage: Bacteria
Description: partial 16S ribosomal RNA
Rfam family: Bacterial small subunit ribosomal RNA
Source: RNAcentral